GAGCGGCGGACGGGUGAGUAAUGCCUAGGAAUCUGCCUGGUAGUGGGGGAUAACGCUCGGAAACGGACGCUAAUACCGCAUACGUCCUACGGGAGAAAGCAGGGGACCUUCGGGCCUUGCGCUAUCAGAUGAGCCUAGGUCGGAUUAGCUAGUUGGUGAGGUAAUGGCUCACCAAGGCGACGAUCCGUAACUGGUCUGAGAGGAUGAUCAGUCACACUGGAACUGAGACACGGUCCAGACUCCUACGGGAGGCAGCAGUGGGGAAUAUUGGACAAUGGGCGAAAGCCUGAUCCAGCCAUGCCGCGUGUGUGAAGAAGGUCUUCGGAUUGUAAAGCACUUUAAGUUGGGAGGAAGGGCAGUUACCUAAUACGUAUCUGUUUUGACGUUACCGACAGAAUAAGCACCGGCUAACUCUGUGCCAGCAGCCGCGGUAAUACAGAGGGUGCAAGCGUUAAUCGGAAUUACUGGGCGUAAAGCGCGCGUAGGUGGUUCGUUAAGUUGGAUGUGAAAUCCCCGGGCUCAACCUGGGAACUGCAUCCAAAACUGGCGAGCUAGAGUAUGGUAGAGGGUGGUGGAAUUUCCUGUGUAGCGGUGAAAUGCGUAGAUAUAGGAAGGAACACCAGUGGCGAAGGCGACCACCUGGACUGAUACUGACACUGAGGUGCGAAAGCGUGGGGAGCAAACAGGAUUAGAUA
Molecule: ribosomal RNA, 695 nt
Filed under: Pseudomonas syringae
Lineage: Bacteria; Pseudomonadati; Pseudomonadota; Gammaproteobacteria; Pseudomonadales; Pseudomonadaceae
Also listed under: 1 other name
Description: bacterial SSU rRNA
Rfam family: Bacterial small subunit ribosomal RNA
Source: RNAcentral